Molecule: ribosomal RNA, 391 nt
Filed under: uncultured bacterium
Lineage: Bacteria
Description: bacterial SSU rRNA
Rfam family: Bacterial small subunit ribosomal RNA
Source: RNAcentral
GAUGAACGCUAGCGGCAGGCCUAAUACAUGCAAGUCGAACGCUCAGUAGCAAUACUGGGAGUGGCGCACGGGUGCGUAACGCGUACACAAUCUACCUUUAAGCGGGGGACACCUCCUGGAAACGGGGAUUAAUACCGCAUAAUAUGCCGAGGUCGCAUGACUUGGUAUUAAAGCAGCAAUGCACUUAGAGAUGAGUGUGCGUCCCAUUAGGUAGUUGGUGAGGUAACGGCUCACCAAGCCUAUGAUGGGUAGCCGGUCUGAGAGGAUGGUCGGCCACACGGGCACUGAGACACGGGCCCGACUCCUACGGGAGGCAGCAGUAAGGAAUAUUGGUCAAUGGUGGAAACAACUGAACCAAGCCAUGCCGCGUGGAGGAAGUAAGGUACCGUAC